Molecule: long non-coding RNA, 1880 nt
Organism: Astatotilapia calliptera (eastern happy)
Lineage: Eukaryota; Metazoa; Chordata; Actinopteri; Cichliformes; Cichlidae
Source: Ensembl
CCCAACUCUCCCGACUGCACACACACACACACACACACACACACACACACACACACACACACACACACACACACACACACACACGCUUGCAUAGAUAAACUCUGAAUAUAGUAGUGGGACUUCAGCUGUUUAUGUAACUUACUAUCUUAAGACUUUUGUGUCUACAAUAAUUAGUUUCCUUGGAACCAGAUCCCUACCUGUUAUUAAUUCUCCACUGUACCCAUGGUUCAGAAAAUUACAGUCAGCCUGCCAGGGGCACGUCACUCAGAGAGCUUUUAGAAACAUGAGAGGCAUCCAUACAUUUAGAGCACGGGCCUGUUAUCAGAAAAAAGUACAAGCCGGAGUUGAAUGGUGUUCAGUUUCACCUUCCUUCCUGUUGCUCUAUGACGUAGUUUGAAACAGAAACCACAAGUGAGUCAGUCUCGGGUUGAGGUUAGGAUUUCCAAAAUCAGAGUUCACACACAUGUAGCUCUUGAUCAUAUAUGUUCAUAUGUUAACAGUCUUUUUCUUCCCCUUCUUUAUUUCUGCGGGAGUCAGGUGGCAGGAGCUCUGUGGAGGUAUUUCAUCUCCAAAGGCAUUGAGUAUCUGGACACUGUGUUUUUCAUCCUGAGGAAAAAAUUUAACCAGGUCACCUUCCUGCACGUCUACCAUCAUUGCUCCAUGUUCACGCUCUGGUGGAUUGGCAUCAAGUGGGUGGCAGGAGGACAGUGUGAGUAGCUUACAACACAGCAGACAUCAGCUAUAUGAUAUAUAUAUAUGAAUUUAUCAGCAUUGCUGUUGAUAAAGCCUUCACCGGCUCUGUAGUUUUGUGGUUUAUACUGGGUGAGGGCUGGGAAGAGACACAAAUGCCUUGAUGGAUGCUUCAGGAAGCUAAACCAAACAUGUGGAGCUACUUGUCUAUAAACCUUUUAUUCACUACUGGUUAAUGUAUUCAUUAUUGUUGUUUGUUGAGCUUAUUUUUUUUUUUUUUUUUUUUUUUUUUAAAUAAUAUGCAUCUGCAUAUUAACAGCCAUGCUAGCAACUCUGUAAAGGUAUACCACAGGCAGAGGAGCACUUUGAGCUAAGUGCUAAUGCCAACAAGGCAACAUGUUGAGAGUAAUAGCAUUUAAUCGUUGAAGUUUACUAUUGGGUACAAUGUUUAUCAUGUUCACAGUAUGUAUUUAGCAUGAUAACACGCUAUCACUUGCUAAUUAGUAAACACAGGUGCAGCUAUAUGUAUAUUUGCAAGUAGAUGAUUGUGACUGAGAGUAAACUGAGUCUGAACACUGAUGAGGAAGCUAGAUGACAAAUUUCACUGAAACCCACAAGCAUAGUAUCGUCAUAUGUAGCUUGGAUAGUUUAAUCUGGAUUCAUGGGCCCCUGGACCUACACUUGUUUGUAUCUCCCACCCCCCUCAACUAUUGUCUUUUUAUUGGAUACAGACAGCAGGAGUUCAGAGCAACUCAGUUUAAGAUUUUUUUUUUUUUAACUAUAGUAAGCAGAACAAAAUUAAAAACGUAUUGUUUCUUCUACUGCAGCAUUCUUUGGUGCACAUAUGAAUGCGAUGAUCCAUGUCCUGAUGUACCUGUAUUACGGUCUUGCCUCCUGUGGACCUAAGAUCCAAAAGUACCUGUGGUGGAAGAAGUAUCUGACAAUUAUCCAGAUGGUAGGUUGAUUUCCAGGGUGGCUGAUUUUGAAAUUAAAUAUACUGAUUGUAGGGAUCAUUUGACUGAAAAUCAUUCUUCUUGCUAUGAAAGAACGGUGAAAACACAAUAUGGUGCAAAAGCAUAACUCUUAUUCUCUCUUUGGGGCUCAGAUUCAGUUCCAUGUCACCAUCGGUCACACGGCCUUGUCUCUCUAUCUCUAAAGACAGAGCACAUAUCUGAACCACUGGAACACAG